RNAcentral lists this ribosomal RNA (2828 nucleotides) under Alphaproteobacteria bacterium. RNAcentral's name for it is "bacterial LSU rRNA". It matches the Rfam family "Bacterial large subunit ribosomal RNA". Lineage: Bacteria; Pseudomonadati; Pseudomonadota; Alphaproteobacteria. The record is from RNAcentral.
GUGGAUUCUCAAGCGUGAGGUAAGAGCAUUUGGUGGAUGCCUUGGCACAUACAGGCGAUGAAGGACGUGGCACGCUGCGAUAAGCGUUGGGGAGAUGUGAGCAAUCUUUGAUCCAGCGAUUUCCGAAUGGGGGAACCCAUCCUCACCAUUUACUUUUGUCUUGAAGGACAGCAGGUUUUCCUGGGGUCCGACAAGGUGAGGGUAAAUGGGGAAGGAUAUCACCGAGUUGAAUAAAAUAGACUUGGUGAAGCGAACCCGGCGAACUGAAACAUCUCAGUAACCGGAGGAAAAGACAUCAACCGAGAUUCCGUUAGUAGUGGCGAGCGAACGCGGACCAGGCCAGUGCCGACAAGUAAAUUAGCAGAACAUUCUGGAAAGUUUGACCAUAGUGGGUGACAGUCCCGUAUGCGAAAAUGAUCUUGUCGGACUCGAGUAGGGCGGAACACGUGAAAUUCUGUCUGAACAUGGGGGGACCACCCUCCAAGCCUAAAUACUCGUAUGUGACCGAUAGUGAACAAGUACCGUGAGGGAAAGGUGAAAAGCACCCCGAUUAGGGGAGUGAAAUAGUACCUGAAACCGAAUGCUUACAAGCAGUGGGAGCUCCCUUGUGGAGUGACCGCGUACCUCUUGCAUAAUGGGUCAGUGACUUAAUUUAUCUAGCAAGCUUAAGCCGUUAGGUGUAGGCGCAGCGAAAGCGAGUCUGAAUAGGGCGACUGAGUUAGAUGAAUUAGACCCGAAACCCGGCGAUCUAGGCAUGACCAGGUUGAAGGUGCGGUAACACGCACUGGAGGACCGAACCAUUUAAUGUUGAAAAAUUAUUGGAUGAGUUGUGUUUAGGGGUGAAAGGCCAAUCAAGCCGGGAAAUAGCUGGUUCUCCGCGAAAACUAUUGAGGUAGUGCCUCGGAUGUUUUCCUAUGGGGGUAGAGCACUGGAUGGGCUAGGGGGUCGCGAGACCUACCAAACCUAACCAAACUCCGAAUACCAUAGAGACAAGUCCGGGAGACAGACGGCGGGUGCUAAGGUCCGUCGUCAAAAGGGAAACAGCCCUAACCUACAGCUAAGGUCCCCAAGUCAUCACUAAGUGGGAAAGCAUGUGGGAAUCCCAAAACAACCAGGAGGUUGGCUUAGAAGCAGCCAUCCUUUAAAGAAAGCGUAACAGCUCACUGGUCUAAAUAAGGGUUCCUGCGGCGAAGAUGUAACGGGGCUAAAGUGAUGCACCGAAGCUUAGGGUUCAGAAUUUAUUCUGAGCGGUAGCGGAGCGUUCCGUAAGCGGAUGAAGCCGAAGGGUAACCGACGGUGGACGUAUCGGAAGUGCGAAUGCUGACAUGAGUAGCGACAAACAGUGUGAGAUGCACUGUCGCCGAAAGCCCAAGGGUUCCUGCUUAAAGCUAAUCUGAGCAGGGUGAGUCGGCCCCUAAGACGAGCCCGAAGGGGGUAGUCGAUGGGAACACGGUUAAUAUUCCGUGACCUGGUGGAAUGUGACGGAUCUCGUGUGUUGUCUGAUCUUAUUGGAUUGAUCAGGCUUCGAAGAGGUUCCAGGAAAUAGCUCCACCAUAUAGACCGUACCCUAAACCGACACAGGUGGGCAGGUAGAGUAUACCAAGGCGCUUGAGAGAAGUAUCCUGAAGGAACUCGGCAAAUUACCUCCGUAACUUCGGGAGAAGGAGGCCCUGUCAGAAGGCAACUUUUGGCAGGGGGCACAAGCUGGGGGGUAGCGACUGUUUAGCAAAAACACAGGACUCUGCUAAGUCGGCUUCAAGACGACGUAUAGGGUCUGACGCCUGCCCGGUGCUCGAAGGUUAAGAGGAGGAGUGCAAGCUCUGAAUUGAAGCCCGAGUAAACGGCGGCCGUAACUAUAACGGUCCUAAGGUAGCGAAAUUCCUUGUCGGGUAAGUUCCGACCUGCACGAAUGGCGUAACGACUUCCCCACUGUCUCCAGGGCAGACUCAGUGAAAUUGAAUUCGAGGUUAAGAUGCCUCGUACUCGCGGUUAGACGGAAAGACCCUAUGAACCUUUACUAUAGCUUCGCAGUGACAAUAUGACUGUAACGUGUAGCAUAGGCGGGAGACUUUGAAGCCGGAACGCUAGUUUCGGUGGAGUCACCAAGUGAAAUACCGCCCUUUGCUUUUGUAUUGUCUAACCACGGCCCGUUAUCCGGGUCUGGGACCCUGCGUGGUGGGUAGUUUGACUGGGGCGGUCGCCUCCUAAAGUGUAACGGAGGCGCGCGAUGGUAUGCUCAGGACGGUCGGAAAUCGUCCAUCGAGUGCAUUGGCAUAAGCAUGCUUUACUGCGAGACAGACAAGUCGAGCAGUUACGAAAGUAGGUCAAAGUGAUCCGGUGGUUCCGCAUGGAAGGGCCAUCGCUCAACGGAUAAAAGGUACUCUAGGGAUAACAGGCUGAUAGCGCCCAAGCGCUCACAGCGACGGCGCUGUUUGGCACCUCGAUGUCGGCUCAUCUCAUCCUGGGGCUGUAGCAGGUCCCAAGGGUAUGGCUGUUCGCCAUUUAAAGAGGUACGUGAGCUGGGUUCAGAACGUCGUGAGACAGUUCGGUCCCUAUCUGCCGUGAGAGUUGGAGUCUUGAGAAGAGCUGCCCUUAGUACGAGAGGACCGGGGUGGACGAAUCUCUGGUGUAUCUGUUGUUCCGCCAGGAGCAUAGCAGAGUAGCUAUAUUCGGACAGGAUAACCGCUGAAAGCAUCUAAGCGGGAAGCCCCCUUCAAUACUAGGACUCCCUAUCAGAGCCGUGGAAGACCACCACGUUGAUAGGCUGGAUGUGGAAGCUCGGUAACGAGUGAAGCUAACCAGUACUAAUUGCUCGAUUGGCUUGAAUU